RNAcentral lists this ribosomal RNA (1426 nucleotides) under Scinax sp. KAV06. RNAcentral describes it as "partial 16S large subunit ribosomal RNA". It matches the Rfam family "Bacterial large subunit ribosomal RNA", at positions 23 to 2597 of the family's 2925-position model. Lineage: Eukaryota; Metazoa; Chordata; Amphibia; Anura; Hylidae. The record is from RNAcentral.
GCUAAACAUCUAGCUCACCUCUUUCAAAUGAAUCUACUUACCUAUUUUUUAUAAACUAAAACAUUCUUACAUUUUAGUACAGGAGAUAGAAAAAUUUUAUGAAGCAAUAAAAACAGUACCGUAAGGGAAAGAUGAAAUAAAAAUGAAAACUUAUAAGCAUAAAAAAAUAGAGACUAACCCUCGUACCUUUUGCAUCAUGGUUUAACUAGUCUGACCAAGCAGAAAGCAUUGUAGUUUGACCCCCCGAAACUAAGCGAGCUACUUCGGAGCAGCCUUAUGGGCACACCCGUCUCUGUUGCAAAAGAGUGGGAUGACUCCAAAGUAGUGGCGACACACCUAACGAGCUUAGUGAUAGCUGGUUACUCGAGAAAAGGAUUUUAGUUCCGCCCAAAGCUUAUUCAACUAAUGUUCAAACAACGAUUCAAGCUUUAGAGUAAGUCAAAUAAGGUACAGCCUAUUUGAUACAGGAAACAACCUAAACUGACGGGUAAGACAACCCAUACCUUACUUAAGUAGGCCUAAGAGCAGCCACCUAAAAAAGCGUCACAGCUUAGCUAAAAUAACCUUCUAAUCCCACAUUAGAUCCCUAACCCUCUACCCCUAUCGAGUAAUUCUAUAUUUUAUAGAAAGUUUUAUGUUAAAACUAGUAACAAGAAACUCGACUUUCUCUUAAGUGCAAGCAUAGUUCAGACAGGACAAACCACUGAUAAUUAACGCCUCUGAGCAUAUAUUAGUAACCAAACAAGAAAAACCUUAUAUUUAAUACGUUAAUCUGACACAAGAGCACUCCAAGAAAGAUUUAAAGAAAAAGAAGGAACUCGGCAAAUAUUAGCCCCGCCUGUUUAUCAAAAACAUCGCCUCUUGCCCAAAAUAAGAGGUCCAGCCUGCCCAGUGACACAUGUUCAACGGCCGCGGUAUCCUAACCGUGCGAAGGUAGCGUAAUCACUUGUUCUUUAAAUGAGGACUAGUAUGAAUGGCAUCACGAGGGCUAUACUGUCUCCUUUUUCUAAUCAGUGAAACUAAUCUCCCCGUGAAGAAGCGGGGGUAAAACUAUAAGACGAGAAGACCCUAUGGAGCUUUAAAUUUUUACUCAAAUACCCUCCACUCCCUUAACUUCCUAGUAUCACAUUCUAUUUUGGUAUAAUGAGGUAAAAUUUUAGGUUGGGGUGACCGCGGAGUACAAAAAAACCUCCACAUUGAAACAGGCCUAUAAGCCUCAAGAACUGGAUUACGAUCCUACUCAUUAAAAAAUUAACAUCUAUUGACCCAAAUUUUUGAUCAACGAACCAAGUUACCCUAGGGAUAACAGCGCAAUCCCCUUUAAGAGUCCCUAUCGCCAAGGGGGUUUACGACCUCGAUGUUGGAUCAGGGUAUCCCAGUGGUGCAGCCGCUACUAAUGGUUCGUUUGUUCAACGAUUAAAACCCU